UGCCAAAAUUGAAAUUAACAUACCGACUUAACCCACGUAUGAGCGAAUAAGGACACGUGGUACACUAGGAGUCGGCAAUAAGGCGCCUGAUGGUUUUAGGCUGGAACGGUUGAGAAGUGGGACGUAACUUUCAUGAGAAGUAGGCUUAACUUUCACAAUAUGGCGUAACUUCCAUGAGGAGUGGGCGUAACUUCCACGAUCAUGGUUACAACCACUCCCCCCACUACUUUCAACCAACCAAUAAUGUGGGGUGAUAUUACUAUAAAUAGUAAUUUGAAAGCCUGCAAUAGUGGUCUUUCUCCCCCCUCGAACGAGAAGACCACCUUUAUUUUCUCUACAAUUUUAUCGCUUUUUUAGCAGUAGUUUAAAUGUAAUCUUUUUCUUUUCCGCAUUUACUGCUUUCCUAGGAGUAGUUUUAAGUUAGAUUUCUGGAGUCUGUAUGCCCCAUGGGCACACCCAGUUGUAAACUAUAUUUGCAGAGUCUGUAUGCCCGACGGGCACACUCUAUUGUAAACUAAAUUUUCAGAGUCUGUAUGCCCUUUGGGCAUACUCGGUUUUAUUAAUAUAUAAAGGCCUUCGGCUCUUUCAAUCGACCAAUCAUUGUGUAUUCUAUAUAUUCGACUCAUCAGCCGACCAAUUACCGUACAUUUCAUCUAUUUGGCUCUUUUAGCCGAAUCGAGUUUACAGUAAAGGUUUUCGAAUUCGGCUGAUCCGAUCCCUCGUCAGCCGAAUCGCUUGAUUUAGUCGAAGGGCGCAAACUUCGAGAGUCACUAUCCGACGCCGUUUCGCAU
This 791-nucleotide long non-coding RNA is filed under the name Ananas comosus (pineapple). Its description in RNAcentral is "long non-coding RNA (ACOM_LNC024725)". The record is from RNAcentral. Lineage: Eukaryota; Viridiplantae; Streptophyta; Magnoliopsida; Poales; Bromeliaceae.